CACGAUGCACGUUUGAAAGCGCUAGUUCAUGAUAUUUAACUUGUCUUAAAGAUUCUUAUAAUUUUCAAAAAAGCUUUUCAACCUGUGCCAGUCCACCAUGAAUUUCUCUCUUCAAAUGUUGGUAAACCUGUACCAGUCCACCAUGAAUUUCUG
This is a long non-coding RNA of Parasteatoda tepidariorum (common house spider), 153 nucleotides long. NCBI's taxonomy places the organism in Eukaryota, Metazoa, Arthropoda, Arachnida, Araneae, Theridiidae. The record is from RefSeq and is a predicted model, not a curated record.